UAGCUAUUGCUUUGCACACGCUGACACAAUCAUCCGAUCACACCGGCUUACGGCCUCCUCCACCUGCGGACUGGAUAAACCAGAGACAUUCUGCAUUCUGACCGGUGAGUGUUUCUGUAAGCCUGGUUUUGGAGGGACGACAUGUGAGGAGUGCAGGGAACUGUUCUGGGGCAAUCCUGAGGUCCAGUGCCACGCAUGCGACUGAUCCACGAGGCAUUGGCACUCAACAGUGUAAUAAGAUGACUGGCGAGUGUAUGUGCGUAGAGGGCAUAGCGGGGCGGAGGUGUGACUCAUGUGGACGUGGCUACAUUGGGACCUUUCCUGACUGCGAGGCCUGUCAUCAUUGUUUCCGCGAAUGGGAUGUUAAUGUGGGAGAGCUGACCAAUCACACACAGAGACUGGUGGAUACAGUAGAGGAAAUGAAAGAGACUGGCAUGGCUACGCACUAUAAAGACAUCAUAUCAAAUCUGGAUGAUGAAACCAGUCAGCUCAGACAGAUUCUGGAAGAUGACAAGGCUCACACACAUGCAGAGGAUGCUGCAGCAAGCCAAUGAGACAGCAUCAGUCCAGAGAAAGUCUAUGGACCGAUCUGAAAAAGAUCUGGAGAAGGUAUCUGCUGACCAUCAGCAGGCUGUGGAGAACCUAAAAGUCUGCCCAGAUACGGAAAGCUGCAGAGGCCAAACUAGAGAGCACAGAGAAAGAAUUUAACCUGAAACAUCAGCUGCAUAUACAGAGGCUGGACAAAAUUGGAUCUGAACUGGACUCCACAGACCUUUCACAGCUAAGCCGUCGGGUGUCAGAUGCUCGAGGACAUGCAGAUAAGGCCAAGCUCAAUGCUCAGGAUGUGUUACUGAGAGCCAAUCAGAGCAAAGCACGAGUGGAACAGACCAAUGAGGAGCUCAAGAGACCUCAUUCAGCAAAGACUUCCUCACAAACGAAACUGAUCCAAAGCGUAUAGAGGAAGUAGCUGAUGAGGUGAUGAAACAGUUUGCCAGUGUCAGUGCCUGGUGCACUAAAGAACGUGACCACGGAGAUCCGCCAACAUGUGGCCAGACUGACCCAGACGGCAGAGAAUACUCGCACUGCAGAGAGACUCCUACAAGAAGCACAGGCUGCCAAUGAGAGAGCUACAGCACUGAAACAGACCACUGAUGAAGUGAAGGAAACUCUAGAGGAUACUGUGCGUGCUCAGACUGCUGCCAACCAAACAACAAAUCACUGAUGUACAAUCAAAAACUGAAGUUCAAACUGAGUAGCAGCACAGGAAAGUUUCUGGAUCUUGAGAGAGAGGUUGACGAACUCCAACAGAAAACUCUAGAAACGUCCAGUAGUGCAGAUCAAACUCCGAGACAAACUGAAAACAUCACAGCAGAAAUCGAGCACACAGAACGGAUCAAAAGGCAGCAGGUGUGUUUAAAGCUCAUCAGAAGGCUGUGCAACUACGCCAGGAGGCAAAAGAUCUAUUAAUAGGUGCCACAAACAAACUACAGAGACUAAGAGAGUUGGAGAGAUCAUUUGUGAUAAAUCAGCACAUUCUGGUGGAGAAAGCUCAGGAGACGGAUGGGCUGGAGAAUGAGGCCAGAGAUGUACUGCAAGAACUCCGUCAGAAAAUCACCAUCUACAGCACCUGCGCUUAACUACUAUGACCAAAAACGAAUUAAUAAUGUUAUAAGCUCAGACUAUAAUCAGAUGUCAACCAUGUAAAUGCAAUUUUGUAUUGUCAAAAAUAAGUUGCUAACUGCCUGACCAAUUCAAGGUAUCCCUUUCAAUAUGCAUAUUUUUGCCUUUUCUAUGAAACUACGAAAAAAGCUCAUUCAGUUUAUUGUGUCCUAAAUAUGAGGAAUCUUGCAGUGUGCAAUAUCAAUAAACAUUCCUCUGGGCGGAAUAAGCCCCUCCAUUGUUGUGAGCAGCAAAUCAGGUUGGAUCUGCUUGUUAAAACUAAGUAUGGUGACAAUGAAAUGCCAAAAUAAAAAUUCCUUUAGAUUAUGUGAUGAAGCAAUAAACCACUGUGGCUUAUUGUUUUGUCUUUUUACUUUCAUAAAACUGUGGAAACAGCAAAAUUAUCAAAACAACUAUAUACGAUGUUUAUUAAAUAUUUA
This is a long non-coding RNA of Sinocyclocheilus grahami, 2099 nucleotides long. RefSeq lists it as uncharacterized. The record is from RefSeq and is a predicted model, not a curated record. The transcript is spliced from 10 exons. NCBI's taxonomy places the organism in Eukaryota, Metazoa, Chordata, Actinopteri, Cypriniformes, Cyprinidae.